Molecule: small nucleolar RNA, 94 nt
Filed under: Hordeum vulgare subsp. vulgare (domesticated barley)
Lineage: Eukaryota; Viridiplantae; Streptophyta; Magnoliopsida; Poales; Poaceae
Description: Small nucleolar RNA Z157/R69/R10
Rfam family: Small nucleolar RNA Z157/R69/R10
About the family: Z157, R69 and R10 are members of the C/D class of snoRNA which contain the C (UGAUGA) and D (CUGA) box motifs. Most of the members of the box C/D family function in directing site-specific 2'-O-methylation of substrate RNAs.
Source: Rfam by way of RNAcentral
CUGCGGCGGUGAUGACAAAUUUGUGGACUAGAGUUUCUGAUCCCGCCUCUUCAGCGGCAUCUGCAGACAACCCCUUGGCUGUCUGAGCACCCAG